AAUCGGAAAAGUUUGUUGAAUGGUGUGUGGGCAGUUUGUGAACAUGAAUAUGUACCAGCAAGCCAAAUAUACAAUGUGUUUUGCCGCCAACGCUUAAUGAGCUAACGCUAACUACGUGCUACUGAGCCAGACUAGCUUAAGCUGGAGUCUACACAUGCAGUGCUACAAGCCGCAUCAGAGAAUUGUGUUCACAUGGUGUCCACUGGGGGGCAGUAUAACCCCAGUAGAAAGCCUCCUGUGAGCUGGCAAGAACUCCCCCUGGAUGUCCUCGAGUUUAGUGUUACCCUCUGAGGGACGACGUGCAGGGAAAAGUCACUUACACCAAGUAUGGAAGUAAUUGUGGAUCAUUUGUGGUGUCAGAUGGGCCACAGCAUUAUUACCAGACAUACCUGACGCUGUUGUUAUGGUGAGGAGAGAGUACGCUGGAUUCUCCCUAGGAUUGCUCUUCUGAGAGGCUGCAGUUUAUUACAAAUGGGAAAGCUUUCAUUGCAGAUUGCCCCAGCGCUGCGUAGAGCGGGGCCUAACGACCAUAUAGAGUGGAAUAUGGAGUGAACAGUGGGUGGAUCCCCAUAAUUAUGUGGAGCAUUUUUUGGCCUUUCAGCAGGUUCCUCUGGCCCAGUCUUCCACUGCUGCAUCAUCAUCAUCAUCAUCAUCACCACCAUCAUCAUCAUCAUCAUCCAGCAUGAUGUCCAAAAAACUGCUUCAAGUUUCAGCGGCAAGAGGCGCACUUUGAGUUGUCAGGACAACCUGCGCGCCUGGCUCAUGGCUGCCCUCCAAGCACAGACAAAGCUGUCGUCCAAUGAACCAGGCGUGUGUCCACCGGACC
This is a long non-coding RNA of Centropristis striata (black sea bass), 826 nucleotides long. RefSeq lists it as uncharacterized. NCBI's taxonomy places the organism in Eukaryota, Metazoa, Chordata, Actinopteri, Perciformes, Serranidae. The record is from RefSeq and is a predicted model, not a curated record. The transcript has 8 exons.